Molecule: unclassified non-coding RNA, 251 nt
Filed under: Hevea brasiliensis (rubber tree)
Lineage: Eukaryota; Viridiplantae; Streptophyta; Magnoliopsida; Malpighiales; Euphorbiaceae
Source: RNAcentral
UUUCUUCUUUUUUUUUUUUUUUUUGGUUCUGUUGAUAGUGAUUUGUUGUCUAGAUUUCCUUAUUUUGAAUUAUGAGCUUAAUUUUGGUAUGUUGUAUUGUGUUGUCUCCUGGAAGUGAAAUGGAUUAGUGGAUAUCUUCCUUGGUUAACGGGUUUGUCCUCCACGACGAAGAUAGACUACACUUUCAUAUAAAAACACCAUCCUUCUUCUUCUCCUUUCAUGUUGCAGGUAAAAAAGCACAUCAAGGCAGG